This is a long non-coding RNA of Mya arenaria, 1280 nucleotides long. RefSeq lists it as uncharacterized. The record is from RefSeq and is a predicted model, not a curated record. Lineage: Eukaryota; Metazoa; Mollusca; Bivalvia; Myida; Myidae. The transcript has 4 exons.
AAAAAUCUGAAUUUAUUCCAAAUAAGACCAGUUGAAUGCAUUAUUAUACAGCGUAUUGGCUCAGCCUCCACGCUUUGGCUCCAGCUCCCUGGCUUUGGCUCAAACCAGAAUAGGAGUAUAAACAUGCUUAUUCCGCUCGGAAGUGUCAUUGGAUCCUUUUUAUACACAGCUCCUAAAAGAGCUGGAGCCACUGUUUCGCAUCCGUGAAAUGGGGAUAUUGCGAUGUUCCGCCCUGUAACGAGACUUCACCAUCAAGUGUGUCACCAAAUACGUUGUCAUCGACUUCAACUGCCUCUUCAACUAUGCCAACUACCUCUUCAACGACGUCAACUGCGUCCUCAAAUGAGUCUUUAAACUCUUAGACUACGAUAUUGACAGGUUACAUAGACGUAUUAUCAAUGAUCCCACCAUCACAGACACCAGCGGUUGGAGUCACACGAUCAACCACGUCAUCGAGUGUAUCAACAUUUUCAUCAAGUUUGUCCAAAACUGCGUUGUCACCGACGUCAACUACCCCAUCAACUACGUCUUCCAACUGUGCAUUUGGAUCGGGUGUUUGUGUGACGCAUACAGAUGGUCUUGGCUCGAAUGCGCCAGCAAGCCGCCCUUCUAUGUCGCUGGUGAUAGCUGUUCUGCUUCCCCUGCAUGUGGCGCUGAUCGGAGGGCAGCAAAACUGAGGACCAUCCCAAUCGGAUCCCGAUCGGCUUUGUUUUACCGGAGAUGGCCGACAUGUAAAGAUUUGAUUAAUAUCUGCUCGACUCGAAACAUUAUCAAUGUGACAGACAUGGUGGCAACAUUAUCAAUGUGACAGACAUGGUGGCAACAUUAUCAAUGUGACAGACAUGGUGACAACAUUAUCAAUGUGACAGACAUGGGUCGUUCGUUUCCACCAGUAUGUUACGAAAAGAAUAUUUAAGAAAUUAGUUGUUUUUAUUUUCGGAGAUUUCGCUCUUUAUACGAACCAUACUAUAUAAUCAUUUAUUUGUAACUGUCUUUUUGUUUAUAUUGUGUAUAACAAGAAACCAGCUCCGACUGUUUAAAAUUGUUCACCAAUUAUUCGCCUAGCAUUUAAAUUCCUUAUGGUUUCUUUUCAUAUAAAUAGUAAUUUGUGUUCCAAAGCUUCAAAUUAGGAAAUCUAAUAUUGAUCUCUGAAAAUGAGCAAUUUAUCAUCAAUAGUGAAAUUGAACCAGGUUGGGCCUGUGAACUUGAAUAUCUCUCUUUUUAACUCUCAUCAUAUUAAAAGAGUUUCUUCCAAAAAUAAUCAUUCAAAAAGAGCAACA